AGUGAACGCUGGCGGUAGGCCUAACACAUGCAAGUCGAACGGCAGCACAGUAAGAGCUUGCUCUUACGGGUGGCGAGUGGCGGACGGGUGAGGAAUACAUCGGAAUCUACUUUUUCGUGGGGGAUAACGUAGGGAAACUUACGCUAAUACCGCAUACGACCUACGGGUGAAAGCAGGGGAUCUUCGGACCUUGCGCGAUUGAAUGAGCCGAUGUCGGAUUAGCUAGUUGGCGGGGUAAAGGCCCACCAAGGCGACGAUCCGUAGCUGGUCUGAGAGGAUGAUCAGCCACACUGGAACUGAGACACGGUCCAGAUUCCUACGGGAGGCAGCAGUGGGGAAUAUUGGACAAAGGGCGCAAGCCUGAUCCAGCCAUACCGCGUGGGUGAAGAAGGCCUUCGGGUUGUAAAGCCCUUUUGUUGGGAAAGAAAAGCAGCAGGUUAAUACCCCGCUGUUCUGACGGUACCCAAAGAAUAAGCACCGGCUAACUUCGUG
This 492-nucleotide ribosomal RNA is filed under the name uncultured bacterium. RNAcentral describes it as "partial 16S ribosomal RNA". It matches the Rfam family "Bacterial small subunit ribosomal RNA", at positions 29 to 507 of the family's 1533-position model. The record is from RNAcentral.